UACAGAGGGUGCAAGCGUUAAUCGGAGUUACUGGGCGUAAAGGGCGCGUAGGCGGUGAGAUGAGUGUGAUGUGAAAGCCCCGGGCUUAACCUGGGAAGCGCAUCGCAAACGAUCUGACUGGAGUAGAUGAGAGGGUGGCGGAAUUUCCGGUGUAGCGGUGAAAUGCGUAGAGAUCGGAAGGAACGUCAAUGGCGAAGGCAGCCACCUGGCAUCAUACUGAGCUGAAGCGCGAAAGCGUGGGGAUCGAACAGG
RNAcentral lists this ribosomal RNA (252 nucleotides) under uncultured bacterium. Its description in RNAcentral is "partial 16S ribosomal RNA". It matches the Rfam family "Bacterial small subunit ribosomal RNA", at positions 524 to 776 of the family's 1533-position model. The record is from RNAcentral.